UGAUAUUUCGUCGACAUAUUACGCCCGAUACACACGGGCCCUCCUUUUCAACGAGGGGCUUCCACCACGGGCACACACGGGACAAUGAACCCGUGGCGCGCCAGUUGCCACCACAUACCGCAUGUUGUGUGUGUUACCCGUAUGGCCCCCUCGUCGGACCUAGCUGCAAUUUCAGAUAGUAUAUUUACUCUCUCCUAUUCCCAUGAUCGACGACGAUCGCCAGAGCGGCGGCUUCGAAACACGGUGGCCGCUAGAUCGCCUUUUAACUAGUCGUAGAAAGGAUACAUACUCGUGUUGUCACGUGGUGAUUCUAUUAACUCACUUUUUUCCUCUUUACUUCCUUUUUCUUUGACAAUAAUACAGUAUGAUAUCUUGGUUAGUUUAGUAGUAGUAAUUGGAUAUUUAAUAUGGAUUUUCGCCACGAUAAUAUCGACCUAGGAAUUUUCGUGGGAAUUUUGUGCCACCUCAUCGAGGAAGUUUCGACGUUGCCAUUACGAUCUCAUGUUCUGCUAUUGUAUUUGGUGUUGUUUCGUGUGACAGCGUGUUUAAAAAUUUUAGAAAGAAUGUUACGAUGCACGAAAAAAUAAGAUACAAUUUCUUCUAAAUAUUUUUCUGUAUUUACAUGAAUGUUAAAUGGAUUUUCGAGCAAGCGUCGCGCUGGCAACGAUGCCAGUGAAAGAGGCGACUCGCCGGCGUCGCUUUCACGGCGUCACACAACUACCUUGACUCGUUCGGACACGAUUAACGAACCUUUCUCCACUCUUGUUUUCGCAAUUCUUUUUUUUCAAUGGUUGGUUCAUCUAGCCUAUAUCCUCAUUUCUUUUCCAAAUCAAAUGAUUAACUCUUUGAAGUUUUACGAUACGCAACUUUGACCCUACCCUAUAGACUAUUUUUUUUAGCACCAAUGAUACACUCUUGCAUCUUUUAUAUUCAGUACGAUUUUCGCAUGUUUACACUAUGUGAAAUAUCCUAAGAUGUUCAUUUAAAUAUUUUCAAAUAUCUAACUCAGGAUCAUAAUAUUAGACAUUCAAACAAAAAAUUUCAGAAAUUCUAUACUUGCAACUGUUUCGCAAAAUUGUAUUUACUCAGCCAGGUUUUUGUAGCAAAUUUUGGGUGGUAGCAUUCUUUACAAAUGUAUUUUCGAUAAUACACAUAAAUUGACUUACUGCAAUGUAUAAAAUUUGUACGUUUAUUUUCUCUACGUGAAUAGAAUUCGCAUGUUCUUUAUCAAUAAUUUAUUGCUUUUCAGAUUCUUGAAUAUUUAAAAUCUAUUGUAUAAUAUCUAUUGAUAUUCCUAAAGUUGUACAAGAUAAUUGAUUACCCUUUUUGGAACUACAAACGCUAUCACUAAACAUUUUCAGAAUUUUCUUUUAAUUAUUUAUUCCUUGCCAAAUUUUAAAUUAUACAUAAUAUUCGAAUCAAAUGUGACAUUGCUAAAUCCAAAAUCAAUGUAUAUUCUUCCUGCGGAAAUCGUUUUCUCACGUCUUUUGUCAUGUCAAAUAGACUUUUUGUUCCACAAACUGGAGUCUUUUGUGUAUCCUGCUCUGACCUAUACUUCUUUCUAUUUAAAAUUCAACUUAUAUUUUCUUACCAUGCUUUCGUAAGUUAUAUACGUUAGUGUAAUAUUUUUCGCACAAGGGCAAUUUUACAAAAGCUUAUAAAAGGAAUCUCUAUUUAUUUAUGUAUUUACAUGGAAAAUUUUAUUAUGUGCCAUUGUAUGAUCAUGAUUGCGAAUUCAACUAGGUUAACUCGUAAACUGGUAUCAUUGAGUCAUUGGGGACUAUAACAAUUUAAGAGCUUCGUCCGUAUACCGAAUAUUUUACCUCCGAAGAAAAUUACCGACUUGGCUUACAAAGCGUCAGCAGCAGCCCCUUAAGAAUCAAUCCUCUCUCGUUACACAAAUUACCAAAGACAAGGCGUUGGAUAAAGCUCGUUUAUCAAGACCGACGCGCGGAAUUUGGAGCGUGGAGACGAUAAAAACGAGGAUUUAUCAAGGGGAAUCCGAUUUGUCUGGUUCUACUGCGAAAUUAUAGAACGCAGCUCGAUGUAAACUCGACUGAAAUUCGGAGCGAAAUGCCUGGAACCGGGACAGUUGCCGUUGACGAGGCGUCCGCGAGCGACAACGAGGUUUCCACGGCGCGUGCUUCAAUUCCACUGGCGUCACGUCUGGCUUAAUUAAUUAAAGGCAGAGAAAUACAUCUGAUCGUAUCUAGAAGAGCUGAAACAAGGAAUCCAUUGAGCAUACAUAUUCCAACGGAAGUCAAUGGAUGGAUACAGUGUUAACUGGAAAUUUGCAACUUCGCGAUCGAUGUGGAAGUGGAGAGGCUUUGCUUGCAGUCCUCUUCUAGCUGAAAGGCGGAGGGGAAUGGUACCGUUGUUUUCAUUGCUGGCAAAGCUUGUUUACGUCAAGGCUACUUUUCUACGGCGUCCACCGAUGCCUUGUCAUCGUUACGCGAUGUAUCUGACUUCCUCGAAUCAUGUUCAGUGAGCGAAACAUGGUAAACGAAUUGUGCAUCAGUGGGAAUUGCUCUGGGAGAUGGGAUAUUUUGGAAGAAGUGCAACUUAUAGUGUCUCGUUAAUUGGCUUAUUAAUUGGCUUACUUCAGGGUUACUUAUAGUGGCUCACGAAAGUAUGUGAACACUCACCAUAGUGAACUCGAAUACUUAACAUAGAGACUCGUUCGAUAUUUUUGAAAUACUAAAUUUGAAAGAAUUUGAAGUAUUACAUAGUUGAUAUACGUAAUUGAUAUAUUAUAUCUAAAACUUGCUGUAUAUCUAGCGAUCGAAUUUUCAAGUUUCUUAAAUACUUCUCCUUUAUUGAAUUACUUAACAUAUUUGUAGACACAUGCCCAAAAUUUGGAGACUUUUACUCAUUCAAUAGUUCUAACUAGUCUAAUAUGUUAGUCCUAGUUAAUGUGAAGUCAUAGUUUCAGUUUAGUAUUUCAUUAUUCUAAAUUACUUGAUAUAUCUAAAAUGUAAAUCGUCGAUAAUAAUUGAAUAUUUCUAGGUUCUAACUUUCUUUAACAUCUCACCGUUGUAAAUAUCCUACAAUACGUUUAGUGUACCUGAAAUUAGAGCCUUAAUAAUCAAAUACAUAUUUUCAUUAUGCAAUCUUCAGUGCUUGUUGUAUCAAAUUGCUUCAUCUUUAUUCAAACUCGCUUCAUAUUGUUUAUUAUACUUUUAGACUCAAUAAUGCCGCAUGUAAACCUAACACCGGGUCCACAAGUUUUUCAAACGUUCCCUCCUAUGUGUCCUAGCGAUUAUUUCUCUUUUCAUCGUUUGUUUUUCUAACGCUGUAAGGAACAGUUGCGUAAUACCACGUGUGCUUCAUGGCAAAGAGCCCCAACGAUGCAGGUCACAGACGGUUGUAUUUUCAAAGUCGGCUUUCUCUUCAUUGAUACUCUUUUCUUUUGUAUCAGCCGAGAAUCGCAUAGAAGUAUACCGCCAAGUAGCUUCUUAAGAAGAUAAACUUACAAGGAUUGCGGACACGACUCGCCCGUGUCACUCGCGAACUGAAUACCAACUCGAGGUGCUUGAAUUUUCCUAGCUCUUUUACAUUCGGUUAAAGAUUACCGAGAACAGUUUUUAAAGUUAUUCUAUGCGCCGCUGGAUGAUCAGGUGGAUGAAGUGAAAGUUUAGGGAAAUACGUUUUCCUUGAGCUGUACGACAGUAUUACAGGUGUUACGACAGUAAUAGUUUGGUUUAGAUUAUUUUUAAGUGAUACGACAAUAUUACGAGUAUUACUAUAAUAAUAGUCUGGUUUACGUUAGUCUAUCUCUUUCGCUAUUACAGGUGACUAUUCUCGUUAAACGUCAAAAUUAUCGUAUACUAAAAAAGAUAACUACAUGUAUCGUUCUAAUUUAUACCUACUAUCGUUGAGUCAUAGGUGAUUGCAACUGUUCGAAUUGAGUUAUUAUUGAAUUAGAUCCUAACCUAAUUAGGUUUAACCCUUUCGGCACUAAAGGUGACUAUUAUCGUGAAACGUGAGUCUCAUCGUACAUUAAAGGUAACUAUAUAUCUUUUUCAUUUACAGUUAGCAUCGUUGCUUUGUAAGUGACUAUUACACUUUGACUAAGGUUAUGUUAUAUUUAAUCCUUUCUACUUGCUAUUAAAGGUGACUAUGUAUAGUUAGAGAAUAGCGAGCUCGUGGUAAACUAAAGAUAACUACAACUAUUCAACGAGUGUUCACUAUAUAUUAAAGAUGACUAUAAUCGACUAACAUUGAACGCUCGUUAUAACCACGUAUGAAUAUAGUUACACAAAGUUGAACUCUUUCCAUAGUAAAAUAUAACAGAAUGAUUAUAAACGAAGACACUUACACGACAUCUUGAAAGAUAAGUUAACAACUCUGGUUGAACACAGCAUAGCAUGCUAUUUUCUGAUUUGCUUUCCUUUGUUCAAUUUGCAUUGUUAUGCAAUAUGUUUACACUAACAUAAAAUAUAGUCUCAUGACUCAGUUGUCUCGUGGACGUAGCUAAAGGAUUAAAGUAUUUCAUUUCACUUUGUAUCUUAUAUUUUACGUGGUAAAAAUUGUUAAUGACCUUCGUCGUGUAAAAUAAAGAAUACAGGGUAAAGUAAAAUCUAAAUCGAACUGCGAUAGUCAUCUAUAAAUCAAAGAGUUAAAGGGAGAUACUCUAGCUUUGAAUCCCAUAGGAUCACUGACAAAUGAUGUGAGUGCCAAAACGAAGAUCUUAUGUGUAAACAAAUGCCAUGUGCUUGUUCAUUUUGGCACUCUGGUUAGCUCUAUUUUGAAAUUGUUCUGAAAGCUAAAACAACUUACUCCUAGCACUUACAGUGUUUACUGCUAUAUACCUAUAAAAUUUUAUGGACGUAGCUGUUCCACUUAUGCUUAUGUAUUUAAUUAGAUAAUCCAAUGCGAACAGAUGAUUAUUAUCGAUAUACGACUGUGUACACUAUAUGUCUUGCACUGGAUAUGCGAUGGAAGAAAGAAUCUUCGGAGUGAAUUUUGUAGAAUAAAAAUAACAAGCCUCUUUGUCUCUUCAGUGGCCCUGGGAAAAA
Long non-coding RNA from Bombus terrestris (buff-tailed bumblebee), 5018 nucleotides. RefSeq lists it as uncharacterized. The transcript has 4 exons. The record is from RefSeq and is a predicted model, not a curated record. NCBI's taxonomy places the organism in Eukaryota, Metazoa, Arthropoda, Insecta, Hymenoptera, Apidae.